Molecule: long non-coding RNA, 2224 nt
Filed under: Strigops habroptila (Kakapo)
Lineage: Eukaryota; Metazoa; Chordata; Aves; Psittaciformes; Psittacidae
Description: lncRNA (ENSSHBG00005011693.1)
Source: RNAcentral
AGGGUAUAUUGUAGGCGCUUUGACACAGUCCAGUUUCUGCUGUGAAGAAUAAUCUGAUUGUCUUAAAAGCAUUCUCAUGCUGGAGAAGGAAAUAAGCAGCCCCAAGACAAAGCAGCACAGGGAAUCAAGAACUGCUGUGGUAGCGGGCACAGGGGGAAGAAGAGGGCUGAAUGCAAGAGGAGAGGGGAGUCACUUAUACCACCCUCCAGUCCUGGCAGCUGUGAAACCCUUCAUCCAUUCCACCAAGACUGGAGUUGCUCUGGCCUCAGCAUUCCCAUGUUUUGACAAGUGUAGCUUUCUCCAUGGUGGAAGUUGAGCCCUCACUGCAUAUCCUGUCAUCUCCCCUGCAGCUCUGUGUAGCUGUUCCCCACCUCGCUGGGAAUCCAGGCUCCUCACAGACCAGGGCAGUUCUAAGAUUGCUGAUGUCACUGUCUUCUCUAGCUCCCUCCUGGUACAGAGAUGAGAGUUGCAGAGUCUGUAGCUACACAGAAUGUUAAGGAUUUCUUCCCAGACUGAUUACUUACAAUGGAUUACAGACUGGAUAAAAGUUGUGGAUGUUCAGUUCUGGGGCACCUACUGUCCCUCCAAUGGCCAAAGGUAGCUGUGGAGCUUCAGCAAGUCACACACCUUUCCCCAAAAGCCAUGUAUACCUCCCAGAGUAAGAAACCUGUUAUUUUAACUGGAUAGGCCCCAAAAAAGCCUAAUUCACUGAAAGCCUACCCAUAAUGAUAUCAGUAGGUCUUUGAUGCUGGGCUGGCAGUCUUGAUCCUCAGAAUGCAUGCAGGCAUCUCCCUUCACUCCCUCAUGGCCAAGGGCCAUGAGGGCACCUACAAAGCUCUGGAAAGCCUGCAGCUUCCUCUACGCCAUGCAGUAACAUUAGCUAUGGCCUGACAAAAACGAUGAGUAUCUGUCCCUGCCUGUGGGUCAUUUACUACUCAGUCCUUCGGUGAGCAGGUAGCCAAAUCUCCUGUCGAAGGUGAUCAGAGCCUGCUUUGCUGUCAGCAUGACUUGUUCAACAAGAAGGAACGUAGUUUAUUUGGUGUAUGCAUAUAAUGGUGCUGGAAAUCCUGCAAUACUUUAAUAGGGACCUUCCCUAUGCACUGGAUGGGCACCUUACAGCUCUGCUCUGUAACAUAAUCUACCAUCAGAAACCAGCAAGGACCGCCAGCCUAAGUUCAGAGACAACCUGCUGCAGCCACCCAGUUCUCACACACUCUCCCAGCUCACAAUACUCACAGGCCUCAGUUUGUUUCCCUGUUGCUUUAAAGAGGCUGCCGCCUACACUGUCCCAUAGGAGAUAGAGCUCAGUACACAUUCAGUUCUGCCCUGCUCAGCAACUUAGGUGCUAAAACACCAUCCUACAGAGAGCUGCUAUCUCUGCUCACUACUUACAGUAACAAGCUUUCUGCUAGAAUGAGGUAUCAAACACCUUCUUCUAAGAAGCAGGUAAGAGGUUGGUGGCUUGGGGGGUUUUUUUAUUAUUAUUAUUAUUCAACUUUUCUAUGGGAUAGAACAUUCAUUAUACCUCAGUACAAAUAUCCUUUCUGCCUACAAAGAUUUGAGCAUUCCUGUAUUUCCUCGUUAGCAUGAAACUACCACAUUGGUAUGAAAUCAUCUUGCACUAAGGUAGCUCCAUGUUGCAAGGAGCCAAGUACUCUUUGGGACUGAAAAUGAUGGUAAAAAGCCGAGUGGUAAAACCCCUUUACUUGAAAGCAAUGAAACUUGGAUUGCAGAUCCUGCUCCAGGAAAGACUUAAUAAAGCACCACCAAUACAGCUUGAUGCUUACAGGAAAAGGAAUCUGGAGUCUCACAAGCAGGGAAGGAAAAUGAAUCUUGGCUUCUCCUUGAGCAAUGCUCAACUGUUGAGUAUCUGCUUGUAUCUCCUUGUGCAAGUGAGGGAAAGGGACUAGCACAGUGCCAAGCGUGCUUUCAAGGUGGCAAGUCCUCAUCCUCCUGUCUUACCUAUGUUGUAAGGCUUGGUAAGGCAGAGACAGGAGGCACACGCUCAGCAUCUGCUGCUGUCAGGACUCUCUAUGCCCAUGUGCAUUAACAUAAGCUUUGAUACCUGCAAAGUCAGGCGUGGGUUCCUGGAUGCCAGCGAUGCCUGUGAACAGUUGUCUUAUACACUGCUUGAUGCUCUGCUUAUUGUGGGAGACCAUUUUCUUUCUGCUGUCAGUUGUCAUUUCCCAGGCCCAGCAGCUCUCUUCAGGCCACACGCCCAGCA